AUGCUGAUCUGGCUGGGAGGAGCUGGUGAUCUCAAAGGUGGUUUUCACAGGGCAAAGCUCAUUUGUUGUACUUCGGAUAUGUUGUCUCUUGAAAUUCCUCAAACUGGGCAAGUUUGACUGUAAUUUGUGGUUGUAGGGGAUUGCCCUUU
Molecule: small nuclear RNA, 149 nt
Filed under: Sorex araneus (European shrew)
Lineage: Eukaryota; Metazoa; Chordata; Mammalia; Eulipotyphla; Soricidae
Description: U1 spliceosomal RNA (ENSSARG00000018501.1)
Rfam family: U1 spliceosomal RNA
About the family: U1 is a small nuclear RNA (snRNA) component of the spliceosome (involved in pre-mRNA splicing).
Source: RNAcentral